UCCACGAAACUGUGCUGAGCGUCAUCAUC
RNAcentral lists this small RNA (29 nucleotides) under Bombyx mori (domestic silkworm). RNAcentral's name for it is "ovarian small RNA-26661". The record is from RNAcentral. Lineage: Eukaryota; Metazoa; Arthropoda; Insecta; Lepidoptera; Bombycidae.